Molecule: long non-coding RNA, 178 nt
Organism: Epinephelus fuscoguttatus (brown-marbled grouper)
Lineage: Eukaryota; Metazoa; Chordata; Actinopteri; Perciformes; Serranidae
Exons: 2
Source: RefSeq, a predicted model, not a curated record
GAAAAUGAAUUUGCCAUUAUGUUCCAUUAUAUGGAGGGUUAUCCACUGAAGAUGAUUCUAAUAAUUUCAUUAUACACAAACAAGUUCUGUGACUUAUAAUGAUUUUGACUAAUUCCAUGACUUUUCCAGGUUUUCCAGGACUCUUGCAAGUAUAAAAUUCAUUCAGACUUUAAAGCAG